ACGCUCGACACCUACGGGGGGCAGCAGUGGGGAAUAUUGGGCAAUGGAGGCAACUCUGACCCAGCAACGCCGCGUGAAUGAUGAAGGUCUUCGGAUUGUAAAGUUCUGUGACGGGGGACGAACACAAUGACGGUACCCCGAUAGCAAGCCACGGCUAACUACGUGUCAGCAGCCGCGGUAAUCUGAGCGGGCUGGCAAGGC
Molecule: ribosomal RNA, 201 nt
Filed under: uncultured bacterium
Lineage: Bacteria
Description: partial 16S ribosomal RNA
Rfam family: Bacterial small subunit ribosomal RNA
Source: RNAcentral